CUAGUCCCACAGCCCCUUCCGUCUUCCCCCUCACCUCCUGCGCCAGAGAAGCAUCCCAGGUCACCAUCGGCUGCCUGGUCCAAGGCUAUUUCCCUGAGCCGGUCACCAUGCAGUGGCGCCCCGACACUAAGGGUGUGAAGAACUACCCCUCCGUGCUGCAAACUUCCACCGGCCUCUACUCACUCAGCAGCCAGGUCACCGUCCCGGCCAGCAACUGGCAAUCCAACACUUAUUACUGUAAUGUCGAGCACCAGCCCACCGGCUCCAGCAUCAGCAAGGAAAUCCCAAAACCCUCCAAACCCCUCUCACCCGCAGUUGAAGGCGAAUUCCCCUGCCCCACCGGUGACAUCAGUGUCUUCAUCGUGCCUCCAUCUCCUUCUGAACUUGCAAGCGGGAGAUCCAAGCUCACCUGCCUGGUGAUCAACCUGCCUAACACAGAUAAACUCAGUGUGAUCUGGACCCAGAAUAAAUUAGGGGGCAAUAUCGCCUAUCCCCUCGCCUUGGAGCCACAGUGCAACCGAACCUACACUGCCUCCAGUUCCCUUCCCAUCACCCGCAAAGACUGGGAGGACAGAAUUACAUACACCUGCACAGUGAAGCACUGGGACCAGACCAUCACAAAUUCCAUCUCGAAGCAGCAAGUGAAGCACUGGGACCAGACCAUCACAAAUUCCAUCUCGAAGCAGCAAGGCUCUUCUCCAAGUGUCUCCCUUCCACCCCCUGCCGCUGAGGAUCUGAGCCGCAAUAGAAACUCCGUCAGCCUCACCUGCCUGGUGCUGGGCUUCUCCCCCGACAAUGUUGAAGUGAACUGGAAGGAGAGCAGCCACUUUGUCACCACCUCACCCGUGAAGGAUGACAACUCAAAAUACUUGGUCUAUAGCAUGUUAACAGUCGACUAUAACAGCUGGAACAGAGGGGACAUCUACACCUGUGAGGUCAACCAUGUAGCUCUGACGUCACCGAUAUCUAAACAAAUCCACAAGGGCUCCGCAGAGGCGACGUCUCUUUCUCCCCCCUGCCCCCCAACAGAGGUGAUCGUAUAUGGAGAGUAUUGCACCGAGGACGGUGACGAAGAGAUCGACAGCCUCUGGAGCACCAUCUCGGUCUUCAUCACCCUCUUCCUCGUGAGCGUGUGCUACAGCGCCACGGUGACCCUAUUCAAGGUGAAGUGGCUUUUUGCCACCGUGGUGCAGCUGAAGCAGGAGACUGGCCCCGAGUACAAGAACGUGAUGCAGCGUGUGGUGUAG
Non-coding RNA from Pelodiscus sinensis (Chinese soft-shelled turtle), 1247 nucleotides. The record is from the annotation of a RefSeq genome assembly. NCBI's taxonomy places the organism in Eukaryota, Metazoa, Chordata, Testudines, Trionychidae.